AAAACUGAGAGAUGCCUCAUGUCAGAAGGCAACUUGUGGUUUUAUAGGUGCACACUUUAAAUUCAGCAUGGAGCCCUGUCUCAAACAGCUGUUUAAAACAAUUGUCUUUCUUGACAGUUACACUGGUGAUACAAUUACAGCCGAUAAAGGCUGGAUGCCUGACCUUGGAGAGAUAGUACUGUGACAAAGUAGCAGCAUUGCGAGCCCAUUCCACCGGGUAGUAGCCACAGUACUCCAGCUGGCGUUUCAGAGUGGUGUGGCAGUACUGAGCAGCCUUCUCAAUCAUGUCCAGGUGCUGGUAGACUUGUGCCAGAUACAAAGGCUCCCAAACCUUCCAGCAAGAUUUGGAGCAUAUUCUGGCAAGACUACAGCUAUUCCUGCCAAUAAAGCAACUGAAAUGACAUGUCUAGAGACAGAUACCUGACAAUACACCAGCUGCCAUGACAGAGCGGGUCCACAAAGGCCCUUUUGUGAAUCUUCGUGUGGCAAGAAUUAAUUUUGAUAAGAGUAUUAUUUUCUUCAGAAUAAAGACACGAAUAUU
Molecule: long non-coding RNA, 541 nt
Organism: Chiroxiphia lanceolata (lance-tailed manakin)
Lineage: Eukaryota; Metazoa; Chordata; Aves; Passeriformes; Pipridae
Exons: 3
Source: RefSeq, a predicted model, not a curated record